RNAcentral lists this non-coding RNA (177 nucleotides) under Brachypodium distachyon (stiff brome). RNAcentral's name for it is "Bacterial large subunit ribosomal RNA". It matches the Rfam family "Bacterial large subunit ribosomal RNA", at positions 1032 to 1205 of the family's 2925-position model. Lineage: Eukaryota; Viridiplantae; Streptophyta; Magnoliopsida; Poales; Poaceae. The record is from Rfam by way of RNAcentral.
UCAUAUGCUAAAAUCCCUAAGCAAUCACCUGGUUGAAAGGAAGUGCUAGAGUGAUGACAACUAAGAGGUGGCCGGGCUCGGAAGCCGUCAUCUUUUGAAGAAAUCGUGAUAGCUCACUAAUCUAGCUCCAUGGCACCAAAAAUGUUUUAGGGCUCAAGUGACUCACCAAUGCAAGGA